CCUACGGGUGGCAGCAGUGAGGAAUAUUGGUCAAUGGACGAGAGUCUGAACCAGCCAAGUAGCGUGAAGGAUGACUGCCCUAUGGGUUGUAAACUUCUUUUAUAUGGGAAUAAAAUGUUCCACGUGUGGGAUUUUGACUGUACCAGAUGAAUAAGGAUCGGCUAACUCCGUGCCAGCAGCCGCGGUAAUACGGAGGAUCCGAGCGUUAUCCGGAUUUAUUGGGCUUAAAGGGAGCGUAGGUGGGUUAUUAAGUCAGAUGUGAAAGUGUGCGGCUCAACCGUAGAAUUGCAUUUGAAACUGGCAGUCUUGAGUACAGAAGAGGAGAGCGGAAUUCGUGGUGUAGCGGUGAAAUGCUUAGAUAUCAGGAAGAACACCAGUUGCGAAGGCAGCUCACUGGACUGCAACUGACGCUGAGGCUCGAAAGCGUGGGUAUCAAACAGGAUUAGAUACCCCUGUAGUC
Molecule: ribosomal RNA, 460 nt
Filed under: uncultured bacterium
Lineage: Bacteria
Description: partial 16S ribosomal RNA
Rfam family: Bacterial small subunit ribosomal RNA
Source: RNAcentral